Molecule: ribosomal RNA, 484 nt
Filed under: uncultured bacterium
Lineage: Bacteria
Description: partial 16S ribosomal RNA
Rfam family: Bacterial small subunit ribosomal RNA
Source: RNAcentral
AUUGAACGCUGGCGGCAGGCCUAACACAUGCAAGUCGAGCGGAUGAAGGGAGCUUGCUCCUGGAUUCAGCGGCGGACGGGUGAGUAAUGCCUAGGAAUCUGCCUGGUAGUGGGGGAUAACGUCCGGAAACGGGCGCUAAUACCGCAUACGUCCUGAGGGAGAAAGUGGGGGAGCUUCGGACCUCACGCUAUCAUAUGAGCCUAGGUCGGAUUAGCUAGUUGGUGGGGUAAAGGCCUACCAGGGCGAGGAUCCGUAACUGGUCUGAGAGGAUGAUCAGUCAGCUUGGAACAGAGGAAGGGCCGAGACUCCUACAGGAGGACGCAGUGGGGAAUAUUGGGCAAAGGACGAGAGCGUGAUACAGCCAUGCCGCGUGUGUGCAGAAGGACUUCGGAUGGUAAAGCGAUUUAAGUCGGGAGGAAGGGAAGUACGUUAAUACCUUGCUAUAUUGACGGUACCAACAGAAUAAGCACCGGCUAACUUCGUG